Molecule: long non-coding RNA, 278 nt
Organism: Pygoscelis adeliae (Adelie penguin)
Lineage: Eukaryota; Metazoa; Chordata; Aves; Sphenisciformes; Spheniscidae
Exons: 3
Source: RefSeq, a predicted model, not a curated record
GAAAUAGGGUGCAAAUGGGUGGCAUGAGGGAAAGGCUAGAUCAAAAUAGGCCUCUGGACCCUUGGAGAGCCACUGACUUCAGCAACAUUUAAGCUGAACGAACAAGCUCUGCGUGGAGAGACGACCUCCGUACUGACGGUGCAAAGUACCACCGCCUCCGUGCUGCUGUUGCGACAGAGGUCUUGGUGGCAGCUUUACAUUCACUUCUCUCUUCCUGUGGAGAAGGAAGCUUCUAUGGGGAAUAUGUACCUAGGAGUAUAGUUAUGGUGGUUUUCUCU